RNAcentral lists this long non-coding RNA (459 nucleotides) under Delphinapterus leucas (beluga whale). Its description in RNAcentral is "lncRNA (ENSDLEG00000018625.1)". Lineage: Eukaryota; Metazoa; Chordata; Mammalia; Artiodactyla; Monodontidae. The record is from RNAcentral.
GAAAGCUAGCUUUGGAGCCAGCCCUGGCUGGAAAUAGGAAGUGAAAUGAAACUCUCUCCCUUCGCAGCUUUUGGCUAAAACCUUGGUAUUUCUUGCUGAGUCCACCUGCCUGAUGCCAUCGCUGAAAGACAAGCAAGAACACAUGGAGAAUGUGACUUUCAGGGAAUGAAUGGAGCUCGCCCCUCGUUUACUUCUCUGGAAGCUCUGCGAGAGGAGGGCGGUGGCAGUCAUGGUCAUUCCCGUAUUUGAUUGCUGUCUGUUUACCCAGAAGACUGCAGGCUCCAUGAAGGGAGAGACCCCUGGGUGAAUCCAGUGCCUGGACAGCGCCCUGCUCAGCACCGUGAACAACAAGCGUGCCCUGAUGAGCAGCCACAGGGCGCGGAGGCGUGCCGUGAUCGGGACACGCUCAUCCCAGGAAACUCCAAACAGCUCCUCAGAGCUAUCAUAAAGGAAGUUAAG